CAGAGCCGCCAUCUUGUUUUGCCCUUGUGCUUUACAACAUCUUCCUCCAAACUUUUGCUGCCAUCGCUGAUGAGCCUCGAAGAAACUUUGGCAGGUCAUGUUCUCCAGGACCAUCAACCUGGGUCCGUGCCAGUACACUUCUUUCCACACCUCUGAUGGGGAAAUGCGAUGCUGUCUUGAGGGGAAUGUUUUUGGAACGGUUGUCUUAAGGUUUCCCGAAGUUCAGGACUCGACUGAGCGGCUUUUGUGGCGAAAUGACGUAACGUGACGAGAAGCUGCUGAUGGUGUGUUUGACGAAGAAGCAGCUAGUAGAAGUCCACUCUCUAAGUUUAAUGGAUUACCGGCACACUUCUGGAAUCUCUCCUGUGUAUAAAAGGUGCUAGACAAAUACACUCUGGGGGUAAAAGUGGUGCAGUGAAUGUGUGCAGUGUUCACACAAGGCCUUCUUUUCACGGCGUGUUUACACUCGCGGUCACAUGUCUCAAUCCAGGCAGAAGAAACGUCCUAUCACCUUCUUCCCGACAGAUUAACCCUCACAUGCAGGUUAACAGCACUCAUCCCGCACAGGAAAUUCCUGUUGCACAUGUUGCUAAGGUUUUGUUGCAUUGGAAUUCAAGG
Long non-coding RNA from Entelurus aequoreus (snake pipefish), 618 nucleotides. RefSeq lists it as uncharacterized. NCBI's taxonomy places the organism in Eukaryota, Metazoa, Chordata, Actinopteri, Syngnathiformes, Syngnathidae. The transcript is spliced from 4 exons. The record is from RefSeq and is a predicted model, not a curated record.